GACGAACGCUGGCGGCGUGCUUAACACAUGCAAGUCGAACGGAAAGGCCCUGCUUGCAGGGUACUCGAGUGGCGAACGGGUGAGUAACACGUGGGUGAUCUGCCCUGCACUUCGGGAUAAGCCUGGGAAACUGGGUCUAAUACCGGAUAGGAGCCAUUUUUAGUGUGAUGGUUGGUAAGUUUUUUCGGUGUAGGAUGAGCUCGCGGCCUAUCAGCUUGUUGGUGGGGUAAUGGCCUACCAAGGCGGCGACGGGUAGCCGGCCUGAGAGGGUGGACGGCCACAGUGGGACUGAGAUACGGCCCAGACUCCUACGGGAGGCAGCAGUGGGGAAUAUUGCACAAUGGGCGCAAGCCUGAUGCAGCGACGCCGCGUGGGGGAUGACGGCCUUCGGGUUGGAAACUCCUUUCGCUAGGGACGAAGCUUUUUGUGACGGUACCUAGAUAAGAAGCACCGGCUAACUACGUG
RNAcentral lists this ribosomal RNA (465 nucleotides) under uncultured bacterium. RNAcentral describes it as "partial 16S ribosomal RNA". It matches the Rfam family "Bacterial small subunit ribosomal RNA", at positions 28 to 507 of the family's 1533-position model. The record is from RNAcentral.